UGCGUAGGGUGCAAGCGUUGUCCGGAAUUAUUGGGCGUAAAGAGCUCGUAGGCGGUUUGUCGCGUCGGGAGUGAAAACGCCGUGCUUAACACGGCGCUUGCUUUCGAUACGGGCAGACUAGAGGUAUGCAGGGGAGAACGGAAUUCCUGGUGUAGCGGUGAAAUGCGCAGAUAUCAGGAGGAACACCGGUGGCGAAGGCGGUUCUCUGGGCAUUACCUGACGCUGAGGAGCGAAAGUGUGGGGAGCGAACAGG
This 253-nucleotide ribosomal RNA is filed under the name uncultured bacterium. Its description in RNAcentral is "partial 16S ribosomal RNA". It matches the Rfam family "Bacterial small subunit ribosomal RNA", at positions 524 to 776 of the family's 1533-position model. The record is from RNAcentral.